Camelus dromedarius (Arabian camel) is the source of this 1173-nucleotide long non-coding RNA. RefSeq lists it as uncharacterized. The record is from RefSeq and is a predicted model, not a curated record. The transcript is spliced from 2 exons. NCBI's taxonomy places the organism in Eukaryota, Metazoa, Chordata, Mammalia, Artiodactyla, Camelidae.
CUUACUUCACUUAGAAUGACAAUCUCCAGGGAUAUAGUUCUAAAUACUUAUAGGACCAAAGAAAGAUACUGUGAUAUUGUGACUUAUAAGAAAUAUAUAUUUGGUCAUGAUCAAAUAUGUAUUUCUUAUAUAUAUUUGGUCUUUAUCCAUAGUUCCUGGUCACAGCUUUCAAAACCCUUGGAAUUUCCCAAGUGCUGAGAGUGAUGAAGAUAUCUUUUGUUAUAUAAAUGAGGUGACUUUUGGAAGCACCUAAAGAAAGAUUCUGCUGAUCACCAGGAGAACCAACCAUUUGGUUAGAAGAUUGGAACUUUUCAGUCCUAUCCCCUGACCUCUGAGGCUGGAGAUUGAGCUCAAAUGCCAAUAACCAAUGACUUAAUCAACCUGCCUAUGAUAUGAAGCCUCUAUAGAACCCCAAAAGGUUUCUAGGAAAAUGGUGCUAAGAGUUUACUCAGCAGAUCUGAGUGACUCUCAGACCGGCAGAUCAUUCUGGCAUGACAGAUGGAUGUGACUGUUUUAGCAGAGGCACCAUAUAGCUUAUGAAGCCCAACCAUAAUAACCUGCCUCCAAGCCUGGACUACUCCCACGGACAUGUAAACUUUAUGUUCAGCUGCUGAGAGUAAUCAUAAUAUGUUGUUAUGUUGUUUUUAAAAUCACAGAAUUGUUUUAUGACCUUGAAAUUUCCCUUUUCUGUAAAUGUGGGUAAUUUCUUUAAAACUAUGUCAUAAGUUAAUGAUAUUAAUUAGGUAAUCUUUGCUAGCCAUGAGACUAGUAAUUCUGUAAACUAGAAGCUUAUAAAUGAGUUUCUUUUUAUUCUAAGUGUCUUAAAAAUAUCUGGAAGGACUUCUGACAGUUACUUUGAUUUGAGGUCAUACAUGUAGAAUUUUGGAGUAUGUACUACGUAUGUUUAGUUGUGUUGGAUAUCACUGUUACUGUGUAAACUAUACCCUGCUGUACUUACUGAUUGACUUAAAUAUUUUCCUAAAAGGUUACAGUGUAAAUUUUGGAUUGGAAGAAAGAGGCAUGCAAGGUACAUGUACAUAUUGUACAAGACUUUGAGGGGUAAAAACUAUGUGUACUUUCUCAUGGACAGAAAUAUUGGGAAAAUACCAUUCCUUUGGAUAGAUCAAGCUAUCUAGUUAAUAAAGUAACUUCAGCAUUGUUCUUAUAACCUUA